GUUUUUAAUAAACAACUUUUCUGCCUUCUACUGAGUGAUCUUUGAGUAAUCAUUUUGGUCUCUUAGCAGGUUCCAGCACACCCCUGUUUCCAUGGAACUAGAAGAUUACAUCUUCUAUAUUUGUGGUAUCC
This 131-nucleotide long non-coding RNA is filed under the name Sarcophilus harrisii (Tasmanian devil). Its description in RNAcentral is "lncRNA (ENSSHAG00000024388.1)". The record is from RNAcentral. Lineage: Eukaryota; Metazoa; Chordata; Mammalia; Dasyuromorphia; Dasyuridae.